CGACAGGUGAUUCAGACCAAGGUAGAUGACUACCUGUGCACGUAUAACUGAGUCACAUACCUCACCUGUGAAAAGGUAGUUAAACUUGGAGGUGUUGAAGAGAUGGAGGCGCUUACACCUUUUCUCAGGUGAUUCAAACGUAGCUUACCUUUUGCACAGGUAACGGAGAGUGCCGCCUGUGUGUCGACAUUCACACAGGGUCACCUAGAGUGGCGUCUGCCUGUUUAUUGCCUUCUUCCUCGCGUACCCCGCCGGAUCAAUCUAUAGAAUUGCUACCCCCACCUGCGUCCAGGUAACUACAACAGGUCUCUAGAAGUACAUCUGUGUGCAGGUGAUUGAUUGAGCCACAGCUCUGGGAGAGCAGGUGUAUGUAUGCAGAUGAUCUGUAAUACUGUGUCAACAUGUUCAUUAUUAAACUCCAUUCACUCACUAACUGAGGCAGGUUUGGUUUAUUGUGUGAAAAAAAAGAUGGUUUUACAUUAAUAAUGUUGUCAUUAAUGCUUUCAGUGUUGGUAUUGCAUUUCCCCAACAUACACAUUUUCAUAAGUUGCCUCUGGAACACACAUUUCUAGAUGACUUUAAUACGAUCAACGGUGAUUUAAAACACACUUCUAGAUCACUUUAAUACGUUCAGCUGUGAUUUAAAACACACUUCUGUCACUUUAAUAGGUUCAGCGGUGAUUUAAAAACACACUUCUAGAUCACUUUAAAAGUAACAGUAUGUAGCAAUUGUACUUCAGGG
Long non-coding RNA from Clupea harengus (Atlantic herring), 742 nucleotides. The record is from Ensembl. Lineage: Eukaryota; Metazoa; Chordata; Actinopteri; Clupeiformes; Clupeidae.